GAGUUUGAUCCUGGCUCAGAACGAACGCUGGCGGCGUGGAUAAGACAUGCAAGUCGAACGCUUAUUUCCUGGUAGCAAUAUUAGGGAGUAGGAGUGGCGCAAGGGUGCGUAACACGUGGAUCAUCUGCCUGGAAGUUCGGAAUAAUUCCGCGAAAGCGGGACUAAUGCCGGAUGUGGUUGGAAGACUAAAGUUGGGGACCGCAAGGCCUGACGCUUCCAGAUGAGUCCGCGGCCUAUCAGCUAGUUGGCGGGGUAAUGGCCCACCAAGGCUAAGACGGGUAGCUGGUCUGAGAGGACGACCAGCCUCACUGGAACUGAGACACGGUCCAGACACCUACGGGUGGCAGCAGUCGAGAAUUUUUCUCAAUGGGGGAAACCCUGAAGGAGCGACGCCGCGUGGGGGAUGAAGGGCUUCGGCCCGUAAACCCCUGUCAUUUGCGAACAAAUGUCAUGGUUGAACAUUCCAUGGCUUGAUUGUAGCGAAAGAGGAAGGGACGGCUAACUCUGUGCCAGCCGCCGCAGU
This 523-nucleotide ribosomal RNA is filed under the name uncultured bacterium. Its description in RNAcentral is "bacterial SSU rRNA". It matches the Rfam family "Bacterial small subunit ribosomal RNA", at positions 9 to 521 of the family's 1533-position model. The record is from RNAcentral.